This 841-nucleotide ribosomal RNA is filed under the name Helvella subglabra. RNAcentral describes it as "eukaryotic LSU rRNA". The stretch from base 475 to 628 matches the Rfam family "5.8S ribosomal RNA". Lineage: Eukaryota; Fungi; Ascomycota; Pezizomycetes; Pezizales; Helvellaceae. The record is from RNAcentral.
UCGUAACAAGGUUUCCGUAGGUGAACCUGCGGAAGGAUCAUUACCAUAACAACCAUUGCGUGAAGUGGGAAGGCUCGGGGUCAUCCCCCUGCCGAAUCCAGCCCCCGGGUCCGGGGGGAACGACGCUCGGGGACCACGGACGCCUGAUAACCGGUUUGACCCCGAAAAAGGGCGCAUGUUUCUCGACUCAGAGAGUUUUCUUCGUCUCUCGCCCCAGGUUACGGCCCAGGGCGAGUCGGGCUACGGUGUGCGGUGCUCCCGAAGCCCCAGCGCCGCGUCCCCCACCGCCGGGCGGCGGAUGCCCACAACCCCACACCCUCUGCGUACACAUCCCUGUUGCUUCCCCCGGGUCUCUCCCCGGGGGGAGGUCCCGGAGCAAACCAUGCUGUCCAACCAACCAGCGGCCCCCACCCGUCUGAAGGCCAUCGUGCCUAGGCAGAUGGAACGAGCGAGGAAGGGAACGGAAAUUGCAAAAACUUUCAACAACGGAUCUCUUGGUUCCCGCAUCGAUGAAGAACGCAGCGAAAUGCGAUAAGUAAUGUGAAUUGCAGAAUUCAGUGAAUCAUCGAAUCUUUGAACGCACAUUGCGCCCCCCGGCAUUCCGGGGGGCAUGCCUGUUCGAGCGUCUCCAGGACACACACAUCGCGCGGGCUAACGCGCGGUCGUGGCGGCGGUGGCGAUCCCCAGCCGGAGGCCACCCCGCUGGAAUACAUGGGCGGACGCCUGCCGCGUUGCCGAGCGUGAUAGGAACGCAUCGGCGCUCGCGAGCGGCGAGGCUGCCAGCCCUGGCCCGACCGUCGGGCGGGGAAGAGCGAAUGAUGGGAACUCCUCGAAUCACGUA